AAUUAUGUUUGAUUCUGGUAUUUAAAUUUAAUUAAUGGAUUAAGUUAUAUAUGUAUUUAUGAAAUUUUUUAAUAUAGUAAUUAGUAUUUAUAAAUUUAUUUGUUUAAAUUUAGUAAAUUUUAUAUAUGUUGAUAAAUCUUGUGCCAGCAUUCGCGGUUAAACAAGUAAACGUUAGUUAAAUUUUUUUUAUUAAAAUGUAUUAUUUAUAUGAAAUUAAUAAUUUUUUGCUUAGGUGGAAUUUGUAAUAAAUAUAUAUGUUCAUAAUUUAUUUAUUGUAAACUCUAUAUUUAAAAUAGGAUUAGAUACCCUAGUAUUUUGAGCGUAAAUGUAUAAGAAUAAAAGUAGAAUUAUUCUUCAUAACUCAAAGAAUUUGGCGGCUGACCUAAAUUUUAGAGGAACCUGUAUAUUAAUUGAUAAACCACGAUAGUUUUUACUAUUUUUUUAUUUAUAUAUCUCUAUAUUAUGAAUGUUUUUUAUAAAAAUUUUCUUUUUGUCUGUACAUUAAUAUUAGGUCAAGGUGUAGUUUUAAAAUAGUUUAUAUGGGUUACUUUAGUGUAUAUUUUAUAUUCAACUGAUGAUAAUAUUAUAGUUUAUUUAGGAUUUAAUAGUAAUUUUUAUUUAUUUAUAAAUAUGAAUUUUGUAUUGGUUGGUGUACAUAUUGCCCGUCACUCCUAUACAGGAUAAGUCGUAACAAAGUAACCCUACCGGAAGGUAGGGUUAGAAGCUU
This 727-nucleotide non-coding RNA is filed under the name Leptocentrus albolineatus. The record is from RNAcentral. Lineage: Eukaryota; Metazoa; Arthropoda; Insecta; Hemiptera; Membracidae.